Molecule: transfer RNA, 72 nt
Filed under: Ictidomys tridecemlineatus (thirteen-lined ground squirrel)
Lineage: Eukaryota; Metazoa; Chordata; Mammalia; Rodentia; Sciuridae
Description: Spermophilus tridecemlineatus (thirteen-lined ground squirrel) tRNA
Rfam family: tRNA
About the family: Transfer RNA (tRNA) molecules are approximately 80 nucleotides in length.
Source: Rfam by way of RNAcentral
CUGGGUAGAGUUCAGUGGUAGAGUAUGUGCUUAGUAUGCAUGGGGCCCUGGGUUCAAUCCCCAGCACCAAAA